This is a long non-coding RNA of Dendrobium catenatum, 1016 nucleotides long. RefSeq lists it as uncharacterized. The record is from RefSeq and is a predicted model, not a curated record. The transcript is spliced from 2 exons. Lineage: Eukaryota; Viridiplantae; Streptophyta; Magnoliopsida; Asparagales; Orchidaceae.
UUUGAGCAAGGCAGAAUGUCGGGAGACAUUAGAAGGCUGGGACAGAGCCUUCGACUCCCUCAUUCGGACCGGAGCGCUCUCUCUCAUGGGCCUUUUCCUCUCUCAGUCCCGAGCUCUCUCUUAGUCUCACGGAGCACCAUCCUCUCUCAUUCUCUCUGAGGCCUGAAGAAGCCCUAGACGGAAGGCUAGCUCCCGCCGCCCUCUCUCUCCAGUCUCUCUGGUUCGGAGCGGAGAAGCAAGGUCCGAAGCCCUCUUGCUUCCAGGCGACUGAUCCACUCCGGUUUCCCUUCUUUGUUCGUGAGCCAGUCGACGUCGAGCCCCACUUCCUCUCUCGAUUUCACAUAACCCGAAGCCCCCACUCUCUCCCUCAUUCCCUCUCUCGGUUUUGAAGCCCCUCUCCAUUCGCAGCCAGGCGACGGAAUCCCUAGCUCCUCCACUCCUUUCUUCUCGGUUUCACACAGCCAAAGUCGCCUCCCCCUAGCCGAGCCUGAAGCAAGUCCAGACGCCGGAAACCCCUUGCCCUGGCUGCCGACUGAUUUCUCCACAAUAGCAGAGUUCGAAGGCCACAAAAUAGACAGGAUUGCCGCUCUGAUUGUCUCACCCGAUGGAUUCUAUGGUCAUCUAGCCUCUUUUAUAUUUGUUGUCCGUUAGUUGUGGUCUUCUUGAAUAUAAAUGGCUUGAUGUGAUUUCGUUCCUUACUAGUGUUGGCAUGAUAACUUGGAGACCAAUUUAAGGUUUCUAAAAGGGGAAGGGAAAUUACUAUGCCUGGAAUCCUCUCAUCUCUAGUUUUGACAGCGUACAUUUAAUCAUGGAAAUUAGAGUAAGAUGUGAAAGAUGGUGAAAUGCUAUUGGAUACAUUUGGAUGUUGCAAGCUGUAACUCCCCUUCCAUCAUUCCUUAUUUGUCUUCAGAUGGUUUACUAUUAUUUAGCAAGGAUUUAAAUCUUUAAGAUUUAUGUUUUGACGUCAAUGAAUGUGCUACGAUAUAUGCAUUUGAAAAUGAGUAGUUUAUUUUCAA